This is a non-coding RNA of Thalictrum thalictroides, 127 nucleotides long. The record is from the annotation of a GenBank genome assembly. Lineage: Eukaryota; Viridiplantae; Streptophyta; Magnoliopsida; Ranunculales; Ranunculaceae.
UUGUUUGCUGGUGCAGCAUCAUUUAGAUUCACAAACCCUAAGAGCCUUAUGAAGUGGAUUUAAUCUUGAUCACUCUUAAAGGACUUUAUUGAAAUGGGAAUCUUGAUGAUGCUGCAUCGGCAAUAAA